Molecule: long non-coding RNA, 4096 nt
Organism: Hypanus sabinus (Atlantic stingray)
Lineage: Eukaryota; Metazoa; Chordata; Chondrichthyes; Myliobatiformes; Dasyatidae
Exons: 3
Source: RefSeq, a predicted model, not a curated record
GUUUAAAGCAUCUUUGAAUACAGUGGAGAGGUGGUCUCUUCAACUAGUUUCUGUUUCAACAUUUUAACCUGCAGGUCUGCUUUAUUUUGAAGUACCAUUUAAAAAAAUAAUGUAGAGCACUAAUUUGUUUGGAACUUUUGAAAAUCUCAAGACAUCACAAAGCACUUUACUAUUAAUGGUGUGCUCAAUCUUUCAGGAAACAUCCAAAAUACAAAAAGCAAUACAAUAAGUAGCAGUAAUUACCUUUACAAUUACAUCUCAAACCAGUCUCUCUCCUGUUCAGAGAUUUUCACUCUCUCACUUUUGUUUCAUAUUCAUCUAUCCCUGUUUUAGCCUUGCCUGCCCUUCACUUUCUAAACCAUCUUUCUUUUACCAGUGCAGUCUUUCAUCUUGUCCAUUACCUUUUUCAAAACCAUCUGACCAAUGCAGCCUUUCUUGUCACAUUCACCCCUUUCCAGACCAUGAUGUACUCACUAUCUCUUUCAUACUCUUUCAGUAUCCCCAAUGCCUAUUGUUUCCCAAACCCCACUAACCUCCUUCUAUCACAUGUUCCAUCUCAUUUUAUCAUUUAACUCCAUUUCUCUGACCUUAAACUUGCUUUCCCUUCUAAUUGAAUUCUCUCUCAUACACGUUCCUCUGUUUCUUCAUAUUCCUUCCCUACCCUUUCCUCUUCCCACCUCCACCUAUUCCCCUAGUUUCUGCCUUUUUUUUUCAUCACCUUUUAUAGCCCACUCCCUGUAAUCUUCCCCUAUUUUAAUGUUUAUAAGCAUCAAACGAACACCGCAGCUGGUGUAGAAGCAGAGCACACUAUUUUUUCCUCUUUUUUCAAUUGAUAUUUGGCUGGGAGCACUAUAUACAAAUUUUACCUCAGCAAAUAAUUUUGAUACUUAUCCUUUAAUGUCUCAAAUAAUUUGGAAAUUCUUGGAGUGGUAUGUGCUGGUGUUAAUAAAUAAAUCCCAGACCAGUCAGCUGAUGCAGAUGCAUCUUGGGAGAUGAGGGUUACUGCACAUGCUCAGACUGCUAAACCUCAACUUGUCACAAUAUGGUGCCAAGCAAAAAUAUCAACCAUAAUCUCAAGCUUUUGGGACAAGCUCUGUCUUCUUCCAAUAAAGUUGUGGAAGGAAAAAUUUAUCAUUUGCAUUGCAUUGUUGCUGGAGGGUAUUGGGCCACGGCUAACCUCUUCAAGGGACCACUUCACUCACAAGACCCGAAUUUAAUGUCCACAAGAAAGCCUUGAGAAAAUCGAAUAGCUUUUUAGACACUGCAUGAAGCAGUUCAGAACCAAUAGCAUUGUGAUUACCAGUUCAAUAGCAACUGAACUACCACAGCUAUGGAAAGAAAAGUUUCACCACACUACCGAAGGAGGAAGGUUGCUUCAGUUAAAUUUACAUUAUUCUCUAGCUGAUCGCAUACUGAAGUAAAAUAUGGAUUGCCUUCAUCUCAGUAGGUCAGUAACGGCCCUUUGAGCAAUAUUAAUGUACUGUAUUAGUGGUGAGCGGUGGUAACUGUUACUGCAGAUACAUUUCCAUUGACACAAAUGCCAGAGUCAGCUUUACGAGUGAAUGCACACGAUUCCCCGCUCCUGUUCUCAGAAUUUCUUUUCUGGAGUGCAUCUCUUUAAGACUAAUUGUCUUUGUCUUGAGUUGGUCGUCCUACUGCGGUUCGGUACAGAUCGCCCAGUGCUGGGCUCCGUCCCCUCCUCGAAUACUCACCAGUGUUCUCUUUGUAUUAACGUUAGAGAAGACGUUUCACUUCGCCUGUCACGAAUUACGUUCGCCUCCCCAGCUGUCAAAACAGGGGGUGUCUCUUUCAUUCCGCCUCCUAGCACCAAAGGACUCUUUAAUGCUCAUGUUUGGACACAAGCAAUUACCCCUAAUUAUUGUUUUUCUUUUCAGUGUGCCUGUCCUGCUGGAGGUCCGGCAGAUGAACAUGCCAUAAUCCGCCACAGUCGGCUGACCUCGGUCCGGUUUUGCUGGAAAACCUUGGGGAGAGGCACCGUGGCUUUCAUCUCAAUGAUAAUUGAGACAGUGCGGUGAAUUGAUUCAAACUCAUUCAGAUUGCUGAAUUAACCUCUGUGUACCGCCUUUAAAUGGACUCAGCUAAGAGCUUAUACGUGUUGAUGGCCGUGCUUUCAAACAAACCUCAGCUGUCAAAGGCACAUUGCUUUGACCUCUUUUUGGGGGGCGAAUGUGUAUUACGAGAUUUUUGUCUAAUCAUAAAUAACGCGCAAUUUUCUCACUUCUAACAUUAAUAUCUAAUUGUAGAUCCAUUCUUUUAUGAAAAGAUAACUUUAAUAAUGCGUAUUUUCUAUACAAAUUUAGGUCUUGGACAUUACUUUAAAAGUUAAUUAUUUUAGUUGGUGAACAUAACUUUCGUGACAGUUUUCUGUUAUCUGUCCAUAAUGGUCCUGGAACCUGGUUGGGCUUCACUGUGUUAAUGAUACUAAAGAGCCCGAAGUAACAACUUACUUGUGGCGGGCUUCCUUCAUCUUGCUUACCUUGUCUCAAAGAGGAAGGUCUGUUGAAGCUCCAAUAUUCUUUAAAAGUCAGGAGCCAAAAAAGUAAUAAACUAUAUUUAAAAAGUUAUUGUUCCUGCUGGAUCCGCGCUGUGGUGGAGGGCUCAGUGAACAGUAGGAAAAGAGACUUUCGUCGCGAAGGAACAACUGCGCCGUAAACUCGCAGCACUAGAUUAAAAUAAUUUUGUAAAGUAGUAACAAUACAGGUUGCUAAUUAGAAAUUUUUAUUUGCGUAAAAAAAGUUAUUCCUUUCCUCAAAUUAUGAUUAUUAUUUACACUGAGUGAAAACAUUUUUGUUUUACUUUUGAUAAUGUCACUUACAGACAGUAAUAGCCUCCCGCCGUUAAUACGGAAAUUUAUUGGUUGUGUUAUCGAUUAUAUAUGAAUGCCUUUUCAGAGAUGCCCAUUCUGCAACACUAAGAAUUUUUUUUUGCGUUCAAGAUUUUUUCAUCAGAACGGUACUACUAACUGUCUCUCCUCAGAUGCUGUCAGACCAGCUGACCAUUUCCAGUAUCUCCUAUUUUAUAUUACAUUUCAAACCUCCAUAUACUUUGCCUUUACAUUUUGUUUUAAAUUGUUUUACUUAUGAAGGGAGAAGUGUUUCUUAGGAAAGGGUAAAAUAUGCAAAACAUUUCGCUUUAUUUUUUGUUCUCGUAGAUAAAACAUAAUGGAGCAAGAUGAUAAACUACGAAUGUGUCAUUUAAGUAAGAAAUACUAAUUAUAAAGCGAGAAGACCUCUAUUGAAUCUCAUUAAAGAAGAAAUUGUGACCCGAAGGCUGUUAGAGGCUGGUAAAUUACACAGGAAUCUCCUGCCGAAUUUUUAUUCUAACGCUUAAUAACGUGUUACAUUUAAUUACAGACAUAAAAAUCUAUGGUCCUGUAUAAAGUUUGUAAAAUAUUUUGUUUAAUAAAAAGUAUAAUUUAUUUCUUUCAAUGGAGUUUCAACGCCCGUUUGACCCAUCGCGAAUUUCAUGUUCGAAUUUCAUGCUUUUCAUUCAUGCAUUCACGCUUCGCGCAACUACAUGCAUUCCGGAACACGGCAUUUACCAUUCCAGAAAUUAGGCUGCAAAUAUUAAAUACUUCAUUCGAUCUGUGCAUAUAUCUUGCCUUAAACUGAGUUACAAUGUGUGCUUCUAAAUUUAAACUAUGAAAAUGUAAUCAAAUAAUUUGUCACACUCAAAAGUUGUCCAUUUAUUCCGAGUCCGUGAGUCUGCAUUAUAGUAUUCCUGUGAAAAUCAGGGACUUCGUAAAAUUUUGAUGCAAAACCUUUUAAUUGAUACUUUUUAACCAUAAUUUUCAUUUGUUGAGAAAAAUGGCGCUAGUCACUUCAUAGUUCAUUAAACGAGGACAAUUGACAGUACCUAUUCAAGGAGAACAUGGCCCAUCUACUUUAACCGUUCAUUCCUAAUGAUUAAGCUUUUUAUUUCAAUUGACCCAUUACUAAAAUACUUCUGCCGUGAGUUUACCGUGACCCCAUCUCAUAUUUUAAAAGCCCGGAAAAAAACAGUAUUCCUUUUUCUUGUUUAAUUUCCGGUUAAAUAAACGAUUGCUCCUUAAUUCUGGGUGGUCUCUGUAAUUACU